UACAGAGGGGGCAAGCGUUGUUCGGAAUUACUGGGCGUAAAGGGCGCGUAGGCGGCCAACUAAGUCAGACGUGAAAUCCCCAGGCUCAACCUGGGAACUGCGUCUGAUACUGGAUGGCUCGAGUUCGGGAGAGGGAAGUGGAAUUCCAGGUGUAGCGGUGAAAUGCGUAGAUAUCUGGAGGAAUACCGGUGGCGAAGGCGGCAUCCUGGACCGACAUUGACGCUGAGGAGCGAAAGCUAGGGGAGCAAACGGG
This 253-nucleotide ribosomal RNA is filed under the name uncultured bacterium. Its description in RNAcentral is "partial 16S ribosomal RNA". It matches the Rfam family "Bacterial small subunit ribosomal RNA", at positions 524 to 776 of the family's 1533-position model. The record is from RNAcentral.